UGGGGCUCUGAGGGUCUGGGGCUUGGCCUUGGAUUUGGCUUUUCAUUCCAUUCAAAGGGCUGCCCACUUCAUUACAGGCUGCUUGGAGAAAAGAAUGUCACAGACUCUGUUUUCCCUGCUUCAAAGUGUAGCCAGCAGCUCUAGGCACAAGGUUACCAUCGGACCUUACUCCAGCUGUGGCUCAUGUACCGAUGGGCUUGCAUUCUGAAAAUGGUUCAAGAUGGUCUGGGCUCCAGAGACACAUAGGCUAGGAGGCAAUGAAACAGAACAUCAGAAAAAUUAGGUGACUUGCUGGUGGCCACAGUGGAUGAAGAGCAGAAGGUUGAUUCCAUGCCCUCCUAGGUGACAAGCCAGCACUCCUGCCCACACUCGGAAAGUAACCUACCCAGGGGUAGGUGAGUGGUUGGAAGAGCCAGGAGCCAGUUUGUGCCACAUGUUAUCACCCAGGGCCAUGCAGACUUCUGUGACAAGCAGUGAAGAUAGACUAGUAUUGUUCUCCUGAUGAAGUAAAACAGCUCGUGGGACGCACAGGAAGGGAACAUUAAUCCACACUGGUGAUAUGGUCUUCCCACAAAUGCCAGAACUGUCAAAAAAGAAGACAAGAUAAUCUCAUUAAAGUGAAGUCUGUUGUUUUCCCCUAGGAGGGGAGCUGAAGGAGGCGGGCAACCCAACAGUUCUUGAGAGCUACUUCCUCUAGGAUUCUUCUCUCACACAGUUCUGUUCUUCAUAAAUCACA
Molecule: long non-coding RNA, 736 nt
Organism: Mastomys coucha (southern multimammate mouse)
Lineage: Eukaryota; Metazoa; Chordata; Mammalia; Rodentia; Muridae
Exons: 4
Source: RefSeq, a predicted model, not a curated record